CCUACGGGUGGCAGCAGUGGGGAAUAUUGGACAAUGGGGGAAACCCUGAUCCAGCCAUGCCGCGUGAGUGAUGAAGGCCUUAGGGUUGUAAAGCUCUUUCGCCAGGGAAGAUAAUGACGGUACCUGGAAAAGAAGCCUCGGCUAACUCCGUGCCAGCAGCCGCGGUAAGACGGAGGAGGCUAGCGUUGUUCGGAAUUACUGGGCGUAAAGCGUGCGCAGGUUGUGAGAUCAGUUGGAUGUGAAAGCCCGGGGCUUAACCUCGGAUGUGCAUCCAAUACUGUCUCGCUGGAGGUUGGAAGAGGAGAGUGGAAUUCCCAGUGUAGAGGUGAAAUUCGUAGAUAUUGGGAAGAACACCAGUGGCGAAGGCGGCUCUCUGGUCCAUACCUGACACUCAUGCACGAAAGCGUGGGGAGCAAACAGGAUUAGAUACCCGAGUAGUC
This 440-nucleotide ribosomal RNA is filed under the name uncultured bacterium. RNAcentral describes it as "bacterial SSU rRNA". It matches the Rfam family "Bacterial small subunit ribosomal RNA", at positions 338 to 795 of the family's 1533-position model. The record is from RNAcentral.